UAAAUUUUAUCUCAUGUAUUAAAUUUGGAAUGAUGCAGAGAAAACUAGCAUGGCCCAAGAACAAGGAUGACACCAAAUUCUUGAAGCCUUCUCAUAAUUUU
This is a small nuclear RNA of Heterocephalus glaber (naked mole-rat), 101 nucleotides long. NCBI's taxonomy places the organism in Eukaryota, Metazoa, Chordata, Mammalia, Rodentia, Bathyergidae. The record is from Ensembl.